AGCAGCCGCGGUAAUUCCAGCUCCAAUAGCGUAUAUUAAAGUUGUUGCAGUUAAAAAGCUCGUAGUUGAAUUUCGGGGUUAGUAGUUUGGUCGUGCCAAUGGUAUGUACUGGGCUCACUGAUUCCUCCUUCCUGAUGAAUUGUAAUGCCAUUAAUUUGGUGUUGCAGGGAAACAGGACUGUUACUUUGAAAAAUUAGAGUGUUUAAAGCAAGCUAACGCUUGAAUACAUUAGCAUGGAAUAAUGAAAUAGGACGUUCGAUCCUAUUUUGUUGGUUUCUAGGAUUGACGUAAUGAUUAAUAGGGAUAGUUGGGGGCAUUAGUAUUCAAUUGUCAGAGGUGAAAUUCUUGGAUUUAUUGAAGACUAACUACUGCGAAAGCAUUUGCCAAGGAUGUUUUCAUUAAUCAAGAACGAAAGUUAGGGGAUCGAAGACGAUCAGAUACCGUCGUAGUCUUAACCAUAAACUAUGCCGACUAGGGAUCGGAUGAUGUUAAUUUUUAAUGUACUCAUUCGGCGCCUUAA
RNAcentral lists this unclassified non-coding RNA (520 nucleotides) under uncultured Glomus. RNAcentral describes it as "SSU rRNA". It matches the Rfam family "Eukaryotic small subunit ribosomal RNA", at positions 569 to 1091 of the family's 1831-position model. Lineage: Eukaryota; Fungi; Glomeromycota; Glomeromycetes; Glomerales; Glomeraceae. The record is from RNAcentral.